CACCGCGGUUAGACGAGAGGCCCUAGUUGAUAUUAAAACGGCGUAAAGGGUGGUUAGGGACAGAAAAUAAUAAAGCCAAAUGGCCCCUUGGCCGUCAUACGCUUCUAGGCGUCCGAAGCCCCACGUACGAAAGUAGCUUUAACAAACCCACCCGACCCCACGAAAGCUAAGAAA
Molecule: ribosomal RNA, 174 nt
Filed under: Striuntius lateristriga (spinner barb)
Lineage: Eukaryota; Metazoa; Chordata; Actinopteri; Cypriniformes; Cyprinidae
Description: partial 12S rRNA
Source: RNAcentral